Molecule: long non-coding RNA, 373 nt
Filed under: Vigna radiata
Lineage: Eukaryota; Viridiplantae; Streptophyta; Magnoliopsida; Fabales; Fabaceae
Description: long non-coding RNA (VRAD_LNC004347)
Source: RNAcentral
AGAAGGAAAAAGCUUGAAUCCCAUCAAAUUUCUUACUGAACCCCAUCAAAAGUCUCCAGAAAAUUGUUUCAAUAAUAGGAGUGGGGGUGAUUAUCUUGUGGAAAAAAAAUUCCAAAUUUAUUUUAAUGGUGCAGGAAGUAACAGCUGGGAAUAGUGGAAACUCAGUGUGAGGGGAAAUGGGUAAUGGUUUAAAUCUAAUUUACCGAAGGGUAUUUGAAGGAUUAAAAGUUUUAUUUGGUGCAAAGACAAAAAAAGGAGGUACAGGAAAAAUGGUCGAAUUUCAAAUUUAGAAAUAACCCAAACAAAAACAAAAGUGGAUCUAAGUCAAAGGCAUGCAUAUUCUUCCUUUUCGAUGUAAUUGAUUAUUCUUAAC